GACGAACGCUGGCGGCGUGCCUAAUACAUGCAAGUUGAGCGAUGAAGAUUGGUGCUUGCACCAAUUUUAAGAGCAGCGAACGGGUGAGUAACGCGUGGGGAAUCUGCCUUUGAGCGGGGGACAACAUUUGGAAACGAAUGCUAAUACCGCAUAACAACUUUAAACAUAAGUUUUAAGUUUGAAAGAUGCAAUUGCAUCACUCAAAGAUGAUCCCGCGUUGUAUUAGCUAGUUGGUGAGGUAAAGGCUCACCAAGGCGAUGAUACAUAGCCGACCUGAGAGGGUGAUCGGCCACAUUGGGACUGAGACACGGCCCAAACUCCUACGGGAGGCAGCAGUAGGGAAUCUUCGGCAAUGGACGAAAGUCUGACCGAGCAACGCCGCGUGAGUGAAGAAGGUUUUCGGAUCGUAAAACUCUGUUGGUAGAGAAGAACGUUGGUGAGAGUGGAAAGCUCAUCAAGUGACGGUAACUACCCAGAAAGGGACGGCUAACUACGUG
This 497-nucleotide ribosomal RNA is filed under the name uncultured bacterium. Its description in RNAcentral is "partial 16S ribosomal RNA". It matches the Rfam family "Bacterial small subunit ribosomal RNA", at positions 28 to 507 of the family's 1533-position model. The record is from RNAcentral.